CGCGUAGGCGGCCUGUUAAGUCGAACGUGAAAUCCCCGGGCUCAACCCGGGAACUGCGUCCGAUACUGGCAGGCUUGAAUCCGGGAGAGGGAUGUGGAAUUCCAGGUGUAGCGGUGAAAUGCGUAGAUAUCUGGAGGAACACCGGUGGCGAAGGCGGCAUCCUGGACCGGUAUUGACGCUGAGGCGCGAAAGCCAGGGGAGCAAACGG
Molecule: ribosomal RNA, 208 nt
Filed under: uncultured bacterium
Lineage: Bacteria
Description: partial 16S ribosomal RNA
Rfam family: Bacterial small subunit ribosomal RNA
Source: RNAcentral